Molecule: ribosomal RNA, 770 nt
Filed under: uncultured bacterium
Lineage: Bacteria
Description: bacterial SSU rRNA
Rfam family: Bacterial small subunit ribosomal RNA
Source: RNAcentral
CUUGCUUCUCUUGAGAGCGGCGGACGGGUGAGUAAUGCCUAGGAAUCUGCCUGGUAGUGGGGGAUAACGUUCGGAAACGGACGCUAAUACCGCAUACGUCCUACGGGAGAAAGCAGGGGACCUUCGGGCCUUGCGCUAUCAGAUGAGCCUAGGUCGGAUUAGCUAGUUGGUGGGGUAAUGGCUCACCAAGGCGACGAUCCGUAACUGGUCUGAGAGGAUGAUCAGUCACACUGGAACUGAGACACGGUCCAGACUCCUACGGGAGGCAGCAGUGGGGAAUAUUGGACAAUGGGCGAAAGCCUGAUCCAGCCAUGCCGCGUGUGUGAAGAAGGUCUUCGGAUUGUAAAGCACUUUAAGUUGGGAGGAAGGGUUGUAGAUUAAUACUCUGCAAUUUUGACGUUACCGACAGAAUAAGCACCGGCUAACUCUGUGCCAGCAGCCGCGGUAAUACAGAGGGUGCAAGCGUUAAUCGGAAUUACUGGGCGUAAAGCGCGCGUAGGUGGUUUGUUAAGUUGGAUGUGAAAUCCCCGGGCUCAACCUGGGAACUGCAUUCAAAACUGACUGACUAGAGUAUGGUAGAGGGUGGUGGAAUUUCCUGUGUAGCGGUGAAAUGCGUAGAUAUAGGAAGGAACACCAGUGGCGAAGCGACCACCUGGACUAAUACUGACACUGAGGUGCGAAAGCGUGGGGAGCAAACAGGAUUAGAUACCCUGGUAGUCCACGCCGUAAACGAUGUCAACUAGCCGUUGGAAGCCUUGAGCUUUUAGUGG